RNAcentral lists this ribosomal RNA (1433 nucleotides) under uncultured anaerobic ammonium-oxidizing bacterium. RNAcentral describes it as "bacterial SSU rRNA". It matches the Rfam family "Bacterial small subunit ribosomal RNA". The record is from RNAcentral.
GACGAACGCUGGCGGCGUGCCUUAGACAUGCAAGUCGAACGGAGUAGCAAUACUCAGUGGCGAACGGCGGAGUAAUGCAUAAGCAACGUGCCCCAAAGACUGGGAUAGUCGAGGGAAACCACGGGUAAUACCAGAUGUGGUCCUUAGAUGGCAUCAUCGAGGGAUUAAAUCGAGCAAUCGGCUUUGGGAGCGGCUUAUGUCCUAUCAGCUUGUUGGUGAGGUAACGGCUCACCAAGGCUACGACGGGUAGGGGGUCUGAGAGGAUGAUCCCCCCGAGUGGGACUGCGACACGGCCCACACACCUACGGGUGGCAGCAGUUUGGAAUAUUGCACAAUGGGGGAAACCCUGAUGCAGCGACGCCGCGUGGAGGACGAAGGAUCUAGGUCUGUAAACUCCUUUUGCCAGGAAAGACUUAGGACGGUACCUGGCGAAUAAGCCCCGGCUAACUACGUGCCAGCAGCCGCGGUAAGACGUAGGGGGCGAGCGUUGUCCGGAUUUACUGGGCGUAAAGAGCGCGUAGGCGGCUAGUUAAGUGAGAAGUGAAAUCUCCAGGGCUCAACCCGGAAACUGCUUUUCAUACUGGCCAGCUGGAGGGACGCAGGGGUGACUGGAAUUCCCGGUGUAGCGGUGAAAUGCAUUGAUAUCGGGAGGAACUCCAACAGCGAAGGCAGGUCACUGGGCGUUUCCUGACGCUGAGGCGCGAAAGCGUGGGUAGCAAACAGGAUUAGAUACCCUGGUAGUCCACGCCCUAAACGAUGGAUACUAGACGUAAGAGGUAUCGACCCCUCUUGUGUCGCAGCUAACGCAUUAAGUAUCCCGCCUGGGAAGUACGGCCGCAAGGUUGAAACUCAAAUGAAUUGACGGGGACCCGCCAAGCCGUGGAGCAUGUGGAUUAUUCGAUACUAACCGAAGAACCUUACCCAGGUUUGACAUCGAUGGUAAGCCCGAGAGAUCGGGCCCUCUCUCACAAGGAGACCUGAAGACAGAUGUUGCAUGGCUGUCGUCAGCUCGUGCCGUGAGGUGUACGGUUAAGUCCGCCAACGAGCGCAACCCUCGUCCUAUGUUGCCAGCGAGUAAUGUCGGGAACUCAUAGGAGACCGCCGGUGUAAGCCGGAGGAAGGUGGGGAUGAUGUCAAGUCAGCAUGGCUCUUACGCCUGGGGCUUCACACAUGCUACAAUGGGCGCAACAAAGGGCACCGAAGCCGUGAGGUGGAGGCAAUCCCAAAAAUACGCCCCCAGUUCAGAUUGCAGUCUGCAACUCGACUGCAUGAAGGCGGAAUCGCUAGUAAACGCAGGUCAGCUAUACUGCGUUGAAUACGUUCCCGGGUCUUGUACACACCGCCCGUCAAGUCACCUGAAUUGUCUUCACCCGAAGUCCGUGGCCUAACCGUAAGGAGGGAGCGGCCGAAGGUGAGGGGAGUAAGGGGGACUA